This is a non-coding RNA of Oncorhynchus gorbuscha (pink salmon), 795 nucleotides long. The record is from the annotation of a RefSeq genome assembly. Lineage: Eukaryota; Metazoa; Chordata; Actinopteri; Salmoniformes; Salmonidae.
AUGUGCUGUGUCUCCAAGCUUAUAGCCAUAGAGGAUACAGAACCCGUCAGGGGUGACAAAAGAGAAAGGCACAUGGUGAAAUUGGGCUGGCAAAUAUACAUUGCCCAGGACCCCAAAACCAAAUUGGAAUGUGUAUACUCGUGCCACAUGUUGGUGGACAGGAAAGCAGCUCCUGGAGAGGGAAGAGUGAAGGAGGUUUUUGUACGGCGAAUUCACCAGAAUGAAUCACCGUGGUGGACAUUUGGAAGAGGCACAAAACUGGUGCUGAAAACUGGUCCCUCUGUCAGGCCCACAGUGUCUCUGCUCCCCCCGUCCUCUGAGCAGCUCUCUGGGAGCUCGGCUACUCUGGCCUGCCUGCUGAGUGGCUACUCCCCCCAGGGGGCGAUGGUGAGCUGGGAGGUGGACGGAGCGGAGGUGAAGGAGGGGAUCCUGACCACCACAGAAGAAGAGAAGGGCGGCCGCUACAGCCGCAGCAGCACCCUGACCCUGAGCAAGGCACGCUGGGAAGAGGGGGAGGUGUACACCUGCAGGGUCGCCCAUGAUGACACCAGUGAUGCGGCCGCCUUCCGUAAAAGUCAGUGUAGCAUCUAGAGACAGGAGAAGCCAUUGUAGGGGUCUAGAGAGUCCCCACAUGGUGCUAGUUCUGGAAACAUUACUGUUUUACAGCUGAAUGUUACAGCAUAAAAGUGAAUAGUAUCAGUAGUGCUGUGUGCUAAAUUAACUCUUUUUAGACUCAGUUGUUCAUGUCUUCUUGCCUUUGAAUUAAAAUAAAGCUGGUUUUGAUUGAAAACUAAC